UUUAAGUUUUUGCACUGAAUUUCAUUGAUGUGGCAUGAGUGGUCCUUCACAUGUCUUCUUGGUUAUAUCAAAACUAAUUAUUAGAAAUAUACGUGUGAACUAUAUUUCUAAGCGGUGCAGACGGUGUGUUCCAAGGCACUUCCGUCAACAAAGCAACAUGCCACCGAAACGUAAAAACGUGCCAAGCAAGAAAGAUGAAAAAGAAUCUGCAAAAACCAAGAAGAAAACGAAAAUAUCAGUUAGAUGUAAAGCCCAUGAUCUGAUGAUUGUGCCCUAUAUGUGAAGGUGUUUAUCAAUAAAGAAUUGUAUGGAUCAUUGUUCCUAGGUUGAAAGAUUCCAAGAAAGGCGCCAAAGUUAAAACCAGUGAACCACCUCCCCACAAGGACGAGAGUACGAAAAUUGCAUCAUCCAAUCUUGAUCUCUUA
This 425-nucleotide unclassified non-coding RNA is filed under the name Lingula anatina. RNAcentral's name for it is "uracil-DNA glycosylase, transcript variant X1". Lineage: Eukaryota; Metazoa; Brachiopoda; Lingulata; Lingulida; Lingulidae. The record is from RNAcentral.